UACAAAACUUGUCUACUGCUGCCUACGAUUGACAAAACUGCUUUCGGCGCAACGACUAUUAUAUCACUUCACAGUCAUCAUCCACACAUACAGUAGAUUAGAAUGAAUCACAGACAGGAGGAAGCACAUGCAAAUGAGCACUACUUUACUGGAAACUACCAUUAUUUUAAAAGGGUGAACAAAGGAAACUCAAAGCUUUUUGUGUUCUUCAAAAAUAGUAAUUUAAAUCUUUUUAAAAAUCUCAUAGCUAUGAAAGGAUUUUUGGUUUGACAGAUUAUAGAAAAAACCUGGAUGGAAAAUUUCCAAAACACUGAAUUAACUUUUUAAUCCUUUCUUUACAUGGUCACACAAAAAGGGCACCGUGUAAAAUGGAACUUCUGUGUUGCUAAGGUAACUAGAUUACCCAGGUCUUUAGCAAUUCAUAAAGUUAUCAUUAUUGCUAAACAUGUUGUCAAUAUUUUGACUGUUCUCAACACUCAGCACAGUAAUUACAGAAUCAACUUUCAGUGCAGAUUAUAAUAUGAAGGUCAGAACAUGAUUACCUAAAGACACAAGUGACCUUCAAAGGUAAAAAAAGAAGCAAAAAUGACUUUGUAUAAAUUCCUAAUUUGGUGCCAAGAAGUGAAGGCGUUACUUUCUCAGUUCAAGUUUAACUGCGGAAAUUAUGUCACCAUUUUGUUUAUAAAACGCAUUUUCCAAACUAUAGUUUCUUUCUCACCAACAAGAACAAGACAAUACGAAAUGACAAGCGGGAUAUGGUGUGUGGCCAGAAAGCGAAUGCCUUCGGCUGUGCUCAUCGGCACAAUGAAUGAACGAACAAACGAACGAGGACACAAUAGGGCCCAGAAGAGCGGAGAGGUCUAGGUCCAAUGUCUUCCACAAAAUUAUUACAAAACAUGUAAUUUCGUCGCUCUACAUGUUUGACGUUUUAGCUUGUAGGCCAGGACAUGAACAAAAGGAAUAAUCAUUUUGAAAGUUCGCGCGUGAUACGAUCUACAGUAGCUUUGCAGUGGUUUGACCUGGAGGUCAUAUUUCUCUUGGUAAUCACCUAUGAUGUUGCCACUAAAAAGUGCACAGGGAAAUCGGUUACUUGCCGUUCAAACACGCUAUCCAUUGCAUGUUUUUAAUUGAUUAUUUUAAAUAAUUUUUUUCGAACUGGUCCCCCUUAUACUGCGAGAAAAAAAGCGAUAAAUCUAUUUUUAAUCAAUUUUUUCUUUCCAGUAGAAACAGGCCCUUAGUUUUCCUCAAAAGAAUUUCUAUAACAGCAACAUAGCAA
Molecule: long non-coding RNA, 1276 nt
Organism: Anneissia japonica
Lineage: Eukaryota; Metazoa; Echinodermata; Crinoidea; Comatulida; Comatulidae
Exons: 2
Source: RefSeq, a predicted model, not a curated record